UCAAAAGGGUGAUUUAUAUUCAUCACUAAUGUUUUAUAACAUCAUAUACUAUAUCUAUAUAACUAAUCUAAGCAAUGAAAGGCAUCCUAUGUUGAGUUAGAUACAAAUUUAUCUUGAGAAGAACUUUUCCAGGCUCUUUCCUUUCAUGGUGGCUUUCAUAGUGGGAAUCUUUUGUUAUCUCUAUUAAGCCUAAUAUACAUUGUUCAUGCUUUUCUUAUCAGCUUAAUUCAUUAGAAUGAAAUGGUUAUUUAACAUGGUAUCAGAUCUCAAGUUUGCUACAAGUUAUGAGUUUGAAGCCCUUUUAUAUCUGUUAUUUCUUCAAUUAACUUUAAAAUCUUGACUUAUUCCAAUAAUUGUGAGCCCUCCAUGUGCAUGGUCUAAGCCACACAUGAAAGAUGUUAAGCAUGACAUAUAUUGACUCUUUCUUAUCAACUUGAUCAUGGGCUAUUGAGUGAAGACCUCUCUCCAUGGUUUCUAUGAGAAUUUGACAUCAAAGUUGACAUUUACCACAAAAUAAAAAUUGUAGCCAAGAUCUCAAAAGGCAUGCUUUCACUUGGUGAAGCAACUCAAAAUUAGGUAGUCUCAUGAAGGCAAGCUUGGGGUUGAAUCUUGGGAGAAGAUAAGGAAUGAACUUAAAAGAAAUUCUUUCUAAAGAAUUUGUUACAAUAUUCAUUCCUAAUUAACCUCAAUGGCUUUGUAGAAGAACAUCGGUAU
RNAcentral lists this long non-coding RNA (714 nucleotides) under Elaeis guineensis (African oil palm). Its description in RNAcentral is "long non-coding RNA (EGUI_LNC034879)". Lineage: Eukaryota; Viridiplantae; Streptophyta; Magnoliopsida; Arecales; Arecaceae. The record is from RNAcentral.